This 465-nucleotide ribosomal RNA is filed under the name uncultured bacterium. RNAcentral's name for it is "partial 16S ribosomal RNA". It matches the Rfam family "Bacterial small subunit ribosomal RNA", at positions 338 to 795 of the family's 1533-position model. The record is from RNAcentral.
CCUACGGGGGGCUGCAGUGGGGAAUAUUGCGCAAUGGGCGAAAGCCUGACGCAGCGACGCCGCGUGAGGGAUGAAGGUCUUCGGAUCGUAAACCUCUGUCAGCAGGGAAGAACGGUCACUGUGCUAAUCAGCAGUGAAUUGACGGUACCUGCAAAGGAAGCACCGGCUAACUCCGUGCCAGCAGCCGCGGUAAUACGGAGGGUGCGAGCGUUAAUCGGAAUUACUGGGCGUAAAGCGCUCGUAGGCGGUAUGUCAAGUCAAGGGUGAAAUCCCCGCGCUCAACGUGGGAACUGCCUUUGAAACUGGCAAACUGGAGUGUGGUAGAGGAGAGUGGAAUUCCAGGUGUAGGGGUGAAAUGCGUAGAUAUCUGGAGGAACAUCAGUGGCGAAGGCGACUAUCUGGCACAUAACUGACGCUGAGGAGCGAAAGCGUGGGUAGCAAACAGGAUUAGAUACCCGGGUAGUC